This is a non-coding RNA of Ictidomys tridecemlineatus (thirteen-lined ground squirrel), 69 nucleotides long. NCBI's taxonomy places the organism in Eukaryota, Metazoa, Chordata, Mammalia, Rodentia, Sciuridae. The record is from Rfam.
GGGGUUGUGGCUCAGAGGUAGAGUGCUUGCCUAGCAUGCAUGAGGCACUGGGUUUGAUCCUCAGCACCA